GACGAACGCUGGCGGCGUGCUUAACACAUGCAAGUCGAACGGAAAGGCCCUGCUUUUGUGGGGUGCUCGAGUGGCGAACGGGUGAGUAACACGUGAGUAACCUGCCCUUGACUUUGGGAUAACUUCAGGAAACUGGGGCUAAUACCGGAUAGGAGCUCCUGCUGCAUGGUGGGGGUUGGAAAGUUUCGGCGGUUGGGGAUGGACUCGCGGCUUAUCAGCUUGUUGGUGGGGUAGUGGCUUACCAAGGCUUUGACGGGUAGCCGGCCUGAGAGGGUGACCGGCCACAUUGGGACUGAGAUACGGCACAGACUCCUACGGGAGGCAGCAGUGGGGAAUAUUGCACAAUGCGCGGAAGCCUGAUGCAGAAACGCCGCGUGCGGGAUGACGGCCUUCGGGUUGUAACCCGCUUUCGCCUGUGACGAAGCGUGAGUGACGGUAAUGGGUAAAGAAGCACCGGCUAACUACGUG
Molecule: ribosomal RNA, 468 nt
Filed under: uncultured bacterium
Lineage: Bacteria
Description: partial 16S ribosomal RNA
Rfam family: Bacterial small subunit ribosomal RNA
Source: RNAcentral